RNAcentral lists this ribosomal RNA (415 nucleotides) under uncultured Clostridia bacterium. RNAcentral describes it as "bacterial SSU rRNA". It matches the Rfam family "Bacterial small subunit ribosomal RNA", at positions 28 to 426 of the family's 1533-position model. Lineage: Bacteria; Bacillati; Bacillota; Clostridia. The record is from RNAcentral.
GACGAACGCUGGCGGCGUGCUUAACACAUGCAAGUCGAACGGAGAUUGCUGACAGAAGCCUUUCGGGGUGGAAGAUAGUAUAUUUUAGUGGCGGACGGGUGAGUAACGCGUGAGUAACCUGCCUCGAAGAGUGGAAUAACAGCGAGAAAUCGUUGCUAAUACCGCAUAAGACCACGGCAUCGCAUGAUGCAGGGGUCAAAGAUUUAUCGCUUUGAGAUGGACUCGCGUCCCAUUAGCUAGUUGGUGAGAUAAUAGCUCACCAAGGCAACGAUGGGUAGCCGGACUGAGAGGUCGAUCGGCCACACUGGGACUGAGACACGGCCCAGACUCCUACGGGAGCAGCAGUGGGAAUAUUGGCAAUGGAGGAAACUCUGAUGCAGCGACGUCGCGUGAAUGAUGAAGGUCUUCGGAUCGU